GCAUUCUGCAGUUAAUUUCAGAGCAGUGGAUAUCUACUCUGGACACCCUCUGGAUUUCCAAGAUAUUCUGUGUACCAUAUUUACAAGCUAUCACAUUAGCUCGGACUGACCUGGAAGAAGACCCUGAGGAGAACCCGGGCACACAGCAGCCAUUCCAGUCCUCAGCUUCAAGGGGGCUCACGAAGGUUGUGGAUCCUUGCCCAGCCUGCAGUGGGGACCUGGUGUGGCAUUGAGUGGCUGUGAGUGCUCAGUGUCCCCCAUCUCAUGCUAAGCACAGCGAAGUAGGGGGAGAUUGCGUAGUGUGCUGAUGGAGCAGUUGCCUCCACCUGGCUGCGUGUCCCUCCGUCAUGUGACAGAAAAGAAGAAGGCAAUGGUGUUUUUCUGUAGCAAGUCACUAUUUAUGGAAGAGGAGACCCUUUAUCUGCAUCGCAAUUCUGAAGAUUCCACUUUGUUCCAGUCAUUGUUGUGGGCACACUUUCAACAUUUGAUUAAGAGCCAUAAGGGUGGCUUCCUCCACCCACAGAAAAAUUCCUCUAAGGAAUCAUGAGACCGUCGACAUUUAGCAGCUGUUUAAAAGACUGUUUAGACUCCUGGGAUGAUGAUGGGGAAUUCCUGGAAUUAUGGUCUUGGGCAAGAAGGGAACUCAAGUAGGAAAGUCAGCAAUCUAAAUUUCAAACCUCAGGGAACCUUCUUUGUAUAACCUGAUAAUCUCCUUCGCUCAACACAGUGCUUGCUGAGUGAAGGAGUGUAAUGGAAAAGAAAGUUAAUAAUCCCUUGUGCUCUGGAUCAAAAAUGAGGUAGGAGACCAAAUUUUCCAUCAAACUGGUUGGGUCCAAUCACUUAAUGCAAAAUGCUUACUUCAGGGUCUGUAGCACUUGUUGAUCAAUGUACCUAACAGGUCUUAAUAGAGAAAGUGAUCAAUUCAAGCAGUGUCUUCCCAAAUUCUAUAUAUAUAUAACAGAUAUUGCUGCAUAACAAACCAGACAACGCUUAAUAGUUUAAGGCAACCGUUUUAUUAUUCCCCAGAGUUCUAUGCGUGGACCAAGGUCACUUGGGCCCUAGUCUUGUGAUGUCACUUGGACCACAGUCAUUGGGAGGUUCACCAGGUGGAAGCCUCCAUGACAGCUCAAUCCCAUAGCUGCCAGUGGGUACGGCACCUACACGUGGCUGCUUGUAUGGCCUGGGAUUUUCACAGCACAGCAGCAGGGGCUGAGAGGCAGAGUCCUAGGAGUGAUUGUCCCCAGAGAGCAGAAGCAAAAGCUCUCAUCAGUCUUCUAAGAGGCUGAGCUGACAAUGGGCACAGCACCACUCUGCCAUCAUCUAUGGCUUAAGCAUUCACAGGGCCAGGCUAAAUUCAGGCUGUCGGAAGAUAAACUCCACCUCUCAAUGGAGAGAGUUCAAAGCAACUGUGGCCAUCUUUACCCCAUCAGCUUUCUUGCCAAGAAAUAAAGCUCUACAUGACACAU
This 1466-nucleotide long non-coding RNA is filed under the name Homo sapiens (human). RNAcentral describes it as "HSALNT0372218". Lineage: Eukaryota; Metazoa; Chordata; Mammalia; Primates; Hominidae. The record is from RNAcentral.